RNAcentral lists this ribosomal RNA (496 nucleotides) under uncultured bacterium. RNAcentral describes it as "partial 16S ribosomal RNA". It matches the Rfam family "Bacterial small subunit ribosomal RNA", at positions 29 to 507 of the family's 1533-position model. The record is from RNAcentral.
AUGAACGCUGGCGGCGUGCCUAAUCCAUGCAAGUCGCGCGAACGGACGAGAAGCUUGCUUCUCUGAUGUUAGCGGCGGACGGGUGAGUAACACGUGGAUAACCUACCUAUAAGACUGGGAUAACUUCGGGAAACCGGAGCUAAUACCGGAUGAUAUUUUGAACCGCAUGGUUCAAAAGUGAAAGACGGUCUUGCUGUCACUUAUAGAUGGAUCCGCGCUGCAUUAGCUAGUUGGUAAGGUAACGGCUUACCAAGGCAACGAUGCAUAGCCGACCUGAGAGGGUGAUCGGCCACACUGGAACUGAGACACGGUCCAGACUCCUACGGGAGGCAGCAGUAGGGAAUCUUCCGCAAUGGGCGAAAGCCUGACGGAGCAACGCCGCGUGAGUGAUGAAGGUCUUCGGAUCGUAAAACUCUGUUAUUAGGGAAGAAUAUAUGUGUAAGUAACUGUGCACAUCUUGACGGUACCUAAUCAGAAAGCCACGGCUAACUACGUG